The sequence is an unclassified non-coding RNA, 319 nucleotides long. Its record names the gene 7SK. It matches the Rfam family "7SK RNA". From Rfam's summary of the family: 7SK was discovered as an abundant small nuclear RNA in the mid-70s but a possible function has only recently been suggested. Two independent studies have found that 7SK RNA binds the CDK9/cyclin T complex (known as elongation factor P-TEFb). The record is from Ensembl.
AGAUACGAGGGUUACCUGGCGAUAACAUCUGUCACCCCUCUGAAUACCAGGAUUGAUUUGGCUGACUAGGCAAGUGUCCCUUUUCUCACUGGCCACUUCCUGUGUGUUCCUCCUGAAGCUGCACACUUAGAUAAAGUGGAUGAUCCUCCCUGAGAGAAGAGGACCAUUUUUCAGGAAAGGGUAUAACAAUAGCUGAGCUCUGCUGCUAGAACCUCCAAACAAGCUUUCAAGGUGCAUUUAUAGGAGAAAUGUAGGGUAGUCAAACUUUCAAGACUCAGAGGCAUCCACCUGAUAUGCUGCAUAUGAUAGUCUGCCUUUU